CGGGGUGCAGCAGGCGCGAAAACUUUACAAUGCUGGCAACAGCGAUAAGGGGACCUCGAGUGCCAGGAUACAAUCUUGGCUGUCGUGAUGCCUAAAAAGCAUUACAUAGCAAGGGCCGGGCAAGACCGGUGCCAGCCGCCGCGGUAACACCGGCGGCUCGAGUGGUAACCGCUAUUAUUGGGUCUAAAGGGUCUGUAGCCGGCCGGAUAAGUCUCUUGGGAAAUCCAGCAGCUCAACUGUUGGGCUUCCAGGGGAUACUGUUCGGCUCGAGGCCGGGAGAGGUGAGAGGUACUUCAGGGGUAGGGGUGAAAUCUUGUAAUCCUUGAAGGACCACCAGUGGCGAAGGCGUCUCACCAGAACGGUCCUGACGGCAAGGGACGAAAGCUAGGGGCACGAACCGGAUUAGAUACCCGGGUAGUCCUAGCCGUAAACGAUACUCGCUAGGUGUCGGCCACGGUGCGACCGUGGUCGGUGCCGUAGGGAAGCCGUGAAGCGAGCCACCUGGGAAGUACGGCCGCAAGGCGGAAACUUAAAGGAAUUGGCGGGGGAGCAC
RNAcentral lists this ribosomal RNA (553 nucleotides) under uncultured archaeon. RNAcentral's name for it is "bacterial SSU rRNA". It matches the Rfam family "Archaeal small subunit ribosomal RNA", at positions 326 to 879 of the family's 1478-position model. The record is from RNAcentral.